AAGUGGAGCAAUCCAUGAGUAAAGUGGCGACCGGGUGAGUAACACGUGACUAACCUACCUUCGAGUGGGGGAUAACAUCGGGAAACCGAUGCUAAUACCGCAUAAUAUCGCAAGAUCAAAGCAGCAAUGCGCUGGAAGAGGGGGUCGCGGCUGAUUAGCUAGUUGGCGGGGUAACGGCCCACCAAGGCGAAGAUCGGUAGCCGGCCUGAGAGGGCGCACGGCCACACUGGAACUGAAACACGGUCCAGACUCCUACGGGAGGCAGCAGUGGGGAAUUUUGCGCAAUGGGGGAAACCCUGACGCAGCAACGCCGCGUGGAGGAUGAAGUCCCUUGGG
This 336-nucleotide ribosomal RNA is filed under the name uncultured bacterium. Its description in RNAcentral is "bacterial SSU rRNA". It matches the Rfam family "Bacterial small subunit ribosomal RNA", at positions 72 to 422 of the family's 1533-position model. The record is from RNAcentral.